Molecule: small RNA, 164 nt
Filed under: Chelonoidis abingdonii (Abingdon island giant tortoise)
Lineage: Eukaryota; Metazoa; Chordata; Testudines; Testudinidae
Description: TUC338 (ENSCABG00000018392.1)
Source: RNAcentral
GUGACAGCCCUGGAGACUGAUGUCUUCUCUUUAUACAUAGAGCAGGUACAGCAUGACUAGAAGUCUUUCAAGAUUCCCCCAGUGCUUCUCCUAACCCCAGACAUGGAGAGAUUCCCUCUAAUGUAGAGAAGAUAGGCUAAGGAAUGAUUAGAUAUACAGACUGA